This 39-nucleotide ribosomal RNA is filed under the name Leucophleps spinispora. Its description in RNAcentral is "partial 28S ribosomal RNA". Lineage: Eukaryota; Fungi; Basidiomycota; Agaricomycetes; Boletales; Leucogastraceae. The record is from RNAcentral.
CCUAUGAUCUCAANCAGGCGGGACUACCCGCUGAACUAA